Molecule: ribosomal RNA, 1275 nt
Filed under: Dasycerus angulicollis
Lineage: Eukaryota; Metazoa; Arthropoda; Insecta; Coleoptera; Staphylinidae
Description: eukaryotic LSU rRNA
Rfam family: Eukaryotic large subunit ribosomal RNA
Source: RNAcentral
GGAUUCCCUUAGUAACGGCGAGUGAACCGGGAACAGCCCAGCACUAAGUCCUGCGGUCGCUUUACGUGGCCGUCGGGAGAUGCAGUGUUUGGGGCGGACCGCAUACGUCGUGUCGCACAUUUCCAAGUCCUUCUUGAAGGGGGCUUUACUACCCACAGAGGGUGCCAGGCCCGUAGGGAAUGUGGCAAUCGACCGUUGGUUCGCCCUUAGAGUCGAGUUGUUCGAGAUUGCAACUCUAAGCGGGUGGUAAACUCCAUCUAAGGCUAAAUAUAUCCAUGAGACCGAUAGCAAACAAGUACCGUGAGGGAAAGUUGAAAAGAACUUUGAAGAGAGAGUUCAAUAGUACGUGAAACCGUUCAGGGGUAAACCUGCGAAAGCCGAUUGAUUGUCGAAAGGGCGAGAUUCACGCGGUGGCACCGUGCGUCGUUGUCCGCGGCGGUCGUGACGUGCAAGUCUUCGGACGAGCGCGCACGCCGUCCGGCCGACCCGGGCUGCCGGUGCACUUCUCGUCCCUGUAGAGGACCGCGUCCGUUGGCCGGGCCGGGCCGCGGCGAUGCUGUCGCAUCUUCGGCCUCACUUCGGUGAGCGUCGGGUGCGAAGCCGCCGUCGAGUCCAACACGAGCCCGCGCCGACGCGAUGAAUAUUGCGAGGGAACGCGAGUGCCAAGACGUUUCGGCGUCUCGGCGAACAGUCCGUCCCGUCCUUGCCGCGAGGCGUCGCAACGCUGUCGACUUCGGUCGGCACGACCGCGCGCCUCCGUCGGUCUGGGCGCGGGCGGACAGCUGUUCGUGCUCGCGACACAGUUCCUGCUGCGGUGUCGUAUCGGCGAUCGCGGGACCCGUCUUGAAACACGGACCAAGGAGUCCAGCAAUUGAGCAAGUCGAAGGGCGUAACAAACCCGGAGGCGAAAAGAAAUUAAAGGCCGGCCGUCAGGUCGCGUCCGUGGGACGAUGCGUUCGUUAGGUCGAACGCCGCAGUCCCGAGGCGUCUCGCCCUCUCAUUGCGAGAUGAGGCGCCCUCCGAGCCCAUGCGCUAGGACCCGAAAGAUGGUGAACUAUGCCUGGCAAGGGCGAAGUCAGGGGAAACCCUGAUGGAGGCCUGUAGCGCUUCUGACGUGCAAAUCGAUCGUCUAAGCUGGGUAUAGGGGCGAAAGACUAAUCGAACCAUCUAGUAGCUGGUUCCCUCCGAAGUUUCCCUCAGGAUAGCUGGCGCAGGCGUGAGUCUCAUGCGGUAAAGCGAAUGAUUAGAGGUAUUGGGGUCGAAACGAUCUCAACC